Molecule: non-coding RNA, 2463 nt
Organism: Pelobates cultripes (western spadefoot toad)
Lineage: Eukaryota; Metazoa; Chordata; Amphibia; Anura; Pelobatidae
Source: the annotation of a GenBank genome assembly
UGAUGAACAUGUUUACAUUUAUUAAAACACUGUAGCAGGUUUUUAUGAUAUAUUUUUCUUGACCUCACUAUUGAUCCUGCUGAUUGCAGUGUGACAUUAGUAUUGCUCUCUUAUGGGAUGAAGAAAAAGCAGUGAACUGGGUUACUUUAAUGUGUUACAACAUUCAGUAUUCGGAAACAAUGUCAGAGACAUAGAAUUAUCAAAGUAGGAAAAACCCCAAACUCGACGUUUUAUUUAAACUAACCGGGUUAUUCACUAAAGUGAGAAUUCAAAGUGAAUCUUAAAUUUAAGGUGAAAUUUCAAAAUUUAAGUUGUAAAUAGUCGAACUGGAAAAGUUCUCAAAGUCAUCCAUGCUUUUACUUCGAUUAUUCUGGACUUGAAAUGUACUUUUAAUUCUCAAUUUAGCCACUAGCCCUGUCAGAAACAUAGAAACAUAGAAUGUGACGGCAGAUAAGAACCAUUCGGCCCAUCUAGUCUGCCCAAUUUUCUAAAUACUUUCAUUAGUCCCUGGCCUUAUCUUAUAGUUAGGAUAGCCUUAUGCCUAUCCCACGCAUGCUUAAACUCCAUUACUGUGUUAACCUCUACCACUUCAGCUGGAAGGCUAUUCCAUGCAUCCACUACCCUCUCAGUAAUAGUCAGUGAAUUGAAAUCAGAAUUGCAACAUUUAGGAUAAUAUAGCCAAACUGCAGCUAUUGCUAUAUUGGAGAAUGUUUUCAAAUCAGCUAUUUUAGCCUGAUUUUAUUUUUUUUUAACAUUUCUGUUGGCUCCAAUAGGCGCAUGUGUGUUCCAAAUAUUGUCUGUUGCACUAAACAUAUCUUCAAAGUGUGAAUUAGCACAGGAUUACAGUUUUUUCCAUCACUACUGCUGUUAGGACUAAUAAAGAGUUCGGCAGAGAGUGGUAAUCUACCACAGAGAAACAAAGAGAAUUCCCUUACAUCAACAGAGGAAUCCUUCAUCUAUAUAUGGCAAGAUGGCGCAGUUAGUUAAAGAGACACUAACCAACCAUCUAGUUAGUAGAUAUAUCUCGAAUGAAAACAAGCAUGUAUUUAAUUAUACAUUUCAUCAUCAGGAGUUCCGAUAAUCCUCUGCCAAUCGGCAGGGCACUUGGACCAAACUCAGUUAAAGGGCCGAGGUUGGACACCCUUUUUCUAAAUGCUUCCCAUUGUUGAUUUCUGUGUUUUUCUCAAGUUAGUUAAAGAGACGCUAUAACCAACCACCUAAUUAGUAGAAAUACCCCGAAUGAGAACAAGCAUGUAUUUAAUUAUGAAUUUCAUCAUCAGGGGUUAUUUCUAUAAAAAGCUUGCAAUAGCUUCAGAUCUCUUGUCUAUUUACUGGUUUAUUGAAGAAAGUAUGAUGCCCUAUCAUUCAUCCUCAGCCCAGACUUUCUGUGGCUGUCCAAUCACAGAUUUCCCAAUGCAGCUCAAUGAGAAGUCUUUGCAAGACAGGUGCUCAGAGAUCCCCUGGACUGUAAGGAAGGGGAGGCAUGACUGCUGCCACUCAGUAAGAGGUGUGGAUUUAUGGGAUAUAAUUGUUGCAAUAUGGAGGACAGUAUAAGUGUGUGUGCAAGGGGAGGAUACUCACCAUUCCCAUAAAGAAAGGCAGGAACAGGUUUUCUCUUACCUCACCUUCUUUCCAUAUAAAAAAAAUAAAAAAAAUCAGAAGCUUUGUAAGGACAGUAUUACCUGUAGUUACCUGCUUGCUUUGAUUACUUUAAGAUGGCUGCAGUGUCUAAGGAUGCCCUCAUUGGGAUGCUGCAGGCUUACCUGUCUUAUCAUGGAGCUGGCUGUCUGGCUGAGGUGAUGGCCGGUGUGCCCCACGAGGUGAGAGGAGAGGACCUGCAGGAGGCGGAGAGCCCAUCGCUGGUGAGUGGUAGGAGGCCUAGGCGGUUUAGGCCUCCUACUCGUCUUUCCCCAAGCCCAGUUUAGACAAGGUGGCGGUGAGGUGGCUGGUCCGGUCGGGAGACUCACAAGGAUCGAUGAUGGCGUGGUGAGCAGUGGAUCCCAGGCUGCCAGGAGGCGGCUGCGGGCUGCAAGAAGGUCGGUGAGUUGGGCCCAAGAUGGCAGUGCACGGUAAGAUCGCUCGAGGAGUCCCCCUUCUUUUCCGGCCAUACCGGAAACGAGGUGCGCACGCAGGAUGGCAGGACAGAACGUGAUGGCGCUUGCAGUGGUGUGCGGCGUGCACAUGAUGACGUCACGUGCACAUACAUCACGGAACCCGGAAGUGUCUGAAAUUCAUCGCCGGGAAGGAGCUGCAGCCCAUGACAGGAGGCACCGGGGGGCCGGCUCCUGGCUGAUGAAGGCUCUGGAGGAAGACGGAGAAUGGUCACUACCAGCAGCCCAGCAGGUAGUGGACCCAGCAGCUGGCGGACCGGCCGGCUGCCAGCAGAUCCAGAGGAGUCGGAGUCAGGAUGACUCAGAUGAGCAGGACCACCAGGGACAUCGUGGCGACUGCCCUGGAGAGCGG